GAGUUCUCUCACGCCUGCCGCGCACAGCUCAGCGAGCCAUGGGUGGGGGAUUACAUGUUUCAGCUAGUUUACUGCCGCCACCUCGCUCUGGAGGGCUGCUUCCGGGCUGGCUCAGCCCUGCCGCCACUUCCGGUCACAUGGGGCAGCUGCCGGACACCAGGAGACGAUGGAAGGUCUAUAGUGUUACAGCUCUGACCCAGGAAGUCCCAGGGUCUUGCCUUCCAGAAGGGUCGCGGCUCUUCCCUCCCUCAGUCCAACGAACAGGAGCACGUCACCUCCCGCAGCUCGGGGAGCUGGCCAGGAACGUGUUACAGCCCGUUUCGCUCCUGUCCGCAGCUGGGUGAGGCAGCCAGGAAAAUAUUACAGCUCUUCUCACGCCCGCCAUUCAGCAGGUCCUGACUUCUUGUGUGACAUCCAGAAGAAAGGGGUUACACAGACAGCUGGAGGGUGAGCAAAGUGGAGAAGUUCUCAGCAGAGAGGAGACUGGAGUGAGUUGCCCCUACCCGCAGGUGCCAACUGUAAUACAUCAGUAGCUGAACAGCUCAUUGCCCUCAAGUGUUCUUGCUCAUGCCUGGCUGAGUUAUUGAAGAAAUUGCUCAGAUCUCAAGCCCUUGUAGAUCACUGGUCCUGGCAGAUGUUGAAAGACAGCAUUCAAGGAACCACCUUGUACGCAGACACUGAAACCUCGCGAGACAACAAAACUGCUGACACCUUGAUCUUGGACUUCCCAGCCUCCAGAACUAUGUGAGACAUAGAACUAUUUCGAACUAUAAAGUAUACCUAUUCCUCAAGAACAAACCGAACACAAACCUGGGAGAAAAAAGAAAGACUGAAGUGGAACUAAAUAAUAUUGAAACCAACAAGCAAUACAAGAAACCAGCAAAGAGUACAUAGAACAAACAUUUUUUUUAGAAGGAUUAAAUGGGACAAUUAAACAAUUUGAUCAGCAUAAUGUCCAGCUCAAGGAUCUUGGAGGUGGUGAGGCAGCCCAAGUGGAAAGGCAGCAGAAGGGGUAUCCUUGUUUUACCAAUUACUCAUAUGUAGGAGAUGGUGCAUUAAAUGAAAUAUUCUCUGCUCUCUCCUAACAUCUACCCCCUCACACCAAGAGGAAGGCAUGUCGCCUGAACCUUUGCAGUAUUCAAUUAAAGUUCUAUUCACACGGUAUUGCAGUUGUUUGCUUAUCUUUCUUUCUUAUUAGACUUAAAACUUCUGGAAACUAGAGGCUAUAUUACUUAUUUGCCUCAGAGUCCUGUUGGCCUAUCAAAUGGCACACCUUCAAUCCAAGAAUGAAUUAAUUAAAUAAAUGUGAAGAAAAAAAAAAUCCAAGUUGCUUAUUUUUGUUAAAUUUAUUUUUCCCCAAAAUAUUUACUGAGAAAAUGACUCUGGGAAGAUAGCAGAGUGGAAAGCCCCAGAAAUGUGUUUCCCCACCUAGACAACAACUGUACUGGCAGAAUCUGUUUGAUGUGACUAUUCUGAAGUUCUGAAUUGAAUAAAUAUGAAGAAAAUACAAAGUGCAAGUCUUGUUACUUCCAAGGGAUGGCUUGCAUACAGGAAGGAGUGAAACGAUUGAUUAGCGAGAUCUACUGUGGACUCCUGAAUGAUGAACACAACAAGGAUGCCCUGCAUUCAUCAAGCUGUUAUUGGCCUAUCAGGUGCUAUGUAAUCUACGGUUUCCUAGGACUUGUGUGUUGAGGAAAAGAUGGUGGCAGAAUGAGAAUUACAGACCAAGGAAAAGCAAAAGUGUGAAGGCCUUGAGCGAGGAGGAGCAUGAAACUUCAGAAAUGAAAGCAAGUAAAGAGGGUUGGAGUGGAGAGAGAAAGGAGAGAAUGACAGCACACAAGGCUAAUUCUCUGCCUGGAAGACAGGCUAAGGAUUCUGGAUUGUUUCCCAAGAACAAGUGAACAGUUUUAAGAAACAAUAUGAUCCAUUUUUCCCCCUAUUUCAAAUAAAUCCGUUUGCAAUGUGCAGGAUGGUUUGGAGAAGACAGGCAAGACUUGAUGUCAGAAGACUAUUCAGGGGCUAAAGCUCUACUACCAUUUAUAAAUGAAGGGAGUUAUUCUCAUUUAAGUCUCUGAAAUUGAGAUGUACCUACUUAAAAAUUAAUAUUGUUAUCCCUUUUAUUUUUCUGUGGUCGUGAAACAAAUUUGCAAAGAUUAUGACAGUGAGAAGUAUAGUGUGGCUGAUUCUUUUUUACUUCUAUCCUCACAGGUUGUCUAUCCUUGCUCAUUCCUGAGUAUAGGCCAAGCUAACCAUAGGAGGAAUUUAUAGAGUAACUUUGAAGCAAGGAUGACAACAGUCUCUUCCUAAAACUAACCCCCUCCUUGAGGGACUGACAUCACCUUUGUAAAACUAAUUAAAACCACAUAAUUAGGAUUAUGGAGAGGGCUAAAUUCUGCUAAGAUGUAGGCAUAGUUUCUAUAAUCCCUUACUAGCCAUGAGUCAUGUGGCCUGAGGUCACAAGAUUUGUGACUUCACCAAUUGCUCCUAUAUAAAAAAUCACUAUUGUAGAACCUAAUAUUGACAUUUUAAUUUGUUUUUCAUACUUUUGCUUUCUGGUAAUUGACCCCACCUAGACCCAUGACUCAUGACUCAACUGGUCCUGUGGCCACCCCACCCAGAGGUGGACUAAGCACAAGAGGACCUUUUCUCACACCUCUGUGAGUUCAUACUAAACCAAUGAGCAGUACCCAUUCUCUAGGUCUCUGCUCACUAAAUUAUUAAAACUUUAGCCUCUGAGUUCUCGGGGAGGUAGAUUUGAACAAUAACCAAGUCUUAUGCUUACACUUGGUCAGCCUUGCAUUAAUUAAACUCUUUCUCUACUGCAAUAGUAUGGUCUCAGUGAAUUGGUUUUAUCUGUGCACCAGGCAGGAAAAAUCUGUUGGGCAAUUACAGAUCCCUAAUGAGUUUACCCUGAAUUUUCUGUUUAUUUUUCUGUGCUUCCAGAUAAGUCAUGAUUUCCUUAAAAAGCAUAUCGUUGAUGAGUGUAUACUUUUAUGUAAAUAAUAUUGUGUUAUCUCAUCUUGUGUUGUUGUACCUAACUGCUGUUUUCCUCUAUAUGAAUCAACCUUAUUUAUUCUGCUAAUUAUGGACUACCAACCCACUGAGCCCAAUCAUAAAAAGUACCUCAGUAACCAUAAUCAUUCAUACCCUUGAAAGGAGCUGUGUGAGAUUUUCUUUGCAGUAUAUAUCCAGAAUCAAAUUUCAGUUGCAUAGUCUGUUUGUGUAUCUCCUGACUGCCUACCAUGGCCUACUUUCCAUGAGAAAUGGAUGAGGGUUUUUAUAUUCUCACAGCUCACCGACACUUCAUAUUAUUUAGUUUUCUAAAUUUUAUAAUAUAUUUAAAUGAUAACUUUAAAUAGAAGUUGUAUAUUUUUCAAACAUACCUAAAAAUACAAAGACUAAAACUGGCCUCCUGCAGUAAAUAGUUACUUAUGCUUGCUUUAUUUAAAUUUUUAAAAUUAUUAUACUAAAAUGUUUAAUUCAAAUCUCGGAGUACUAGUUUUUCAUUGCUGGUGUGAAAUAUUACCACAAAUUUAGAGGCUUAAACUAGCAAAGAUUUAUUACCUUAUAAUUCUGGAGGUCAGAAGUCCAAAAUGAGUCUCCCACAGAUAAAAUCAGGGUGUUGACAGGGCUAUAUAAUAUCACCCUGACACUGCAUGUUUACCUCUUUUACAUUUAAAGGACCUUGUGAUUACAUUGGGCCCACCCAAAUAACCCAGAAUAAUCUUUUUAUUUUAAAGUGACCUUAUUAGCAACCUUAAUUUCACAUGUAGCCUUAAUUAUCCUUUUUCAUUGUAGCGCAACAUAUUCACAGUUGAGAAAGGGACUUUUAGGAUACAGACAACUUUGGAGGGCCAUUAUUCUGCCUGCCACAGAGAUAUCAUCCAUAAGUGACUCGUCUCUAAAAAUUAAAG
RNAcentral lists this long non-coding RNA (3914 nucleotides) under Homo sapiens (human). Its description in RNAcentral is "HSALNT0034731". Lineage: Eukaryota; Metazoa; Chordata; Mammalia; Primates; Hominidae. The record is from RNAcentral.